AAAAAAAAUUUAGAAAAAAAUGAGUCAAAAAAAAGUUUGCAAUAAUGAUGAAUUUGAUUGAAUUUUAAAGAGAAAAAAAAUGACCAUUGAAAUUUUUUUGAGAUAUCUCUGCACUAUUAUAGAAGUUGGGACUUUUGGAGGGAUAUUUUUUUUACGACAAAAUUGACAUUUUACUUAUCCGCUAUUAAGAAAAUAAAUAAUUCUCUAACGCAAACAAAUCUGAAGAACAAAUAUGACUAUCACUAGACUUUUGCAGUGAUAAGAGUUAAAAGUUGAACUCUGUAAUAAUAUAUUUGCUAUCGCUAUAUUUACAUAGCGCUGUAUGUUAUUAAUCAUCUUUUUUAACCUUUUUUCAAAAAAAAGAGAAAUUACACUUAAGUCCCUGAACAAUUCAUAUAUUUUAUUUAAACACUUUACACUAAAUUAAAUUA
Molecule: long non-coding RNA, 431 nt
Filed under: Ananas comosus (pineapple)
Lineage: Eukaryota; Viridiplantae; Streptophyta; Magnoliopsida; Poales; Bromeliaceae
Description: long non-coding RNA (ACOM_LNC023697)
Source: RNAcentral